UACGUAGGGGCUAGCGUUGUCCGGAAUUACUGGGCGUAAAGGGCGCGUAGGCGGCCUGUUAAGUCGAACGUGAAAUCCCCGGGCUCAACCCGGGAACUGCGUCCGAUACUGGCAGGCUUGAAUCCGGGAGAGGGAUGCGGAAUCCCAGGUGUAGCGGUGAAAUGCGUAGAUAUCUGGAGGAACACCGGUGGCGAAGGCGGCAUCCUGGACCGGCAUUGACGCUGAGGCGCGAAAGCCAGGGGAGCAAACGGG
RNAcentral lists this ribosomal RNA (252 nucleotides) under uncultured bacterium. RNAcentral's name for it is "partial 16S ribosomal RNA". It matches the Rfam family "Bacterial small subunit ribosomal RNA", at positions 524 to 776 of the family's 1533-position model. The record is from RNAcentral.